GAUGGAAGAACGUAGCGAAAUGCGAUAAGUAGUGUGAAUUGCAGAAUUCAGUGAAUCAUCGAAUCUUUGAACGCACAUUGCGCCCUUUGGUAUUCCUUAGGGCAUGCCUGUUCGAGCGUCAUUUAAACCUUCAAGCUAAGCUUGGUGUUGGGUGACUGUCCGCUUCACGGCGGACUCGCCUCAAAAUUAUUGGCGGCCGGUACAUUGGCUUCGAGCGCAGCAGAAACGCGAACUCGGGCCCGUCGUAUUGGCUCCCAGAAGCUAUCUUCACAAUUUUGACCUCGGAUCAGGUAGGGAUACCCGCUGAACUUAAGCAUAUCAAUAAGCGGAGGA
RNAcentral lists this unclassified non-coding RNA (333 nucleotides) under soil metagenome. RNAcentral's name for it is "partial contains 5.8S ribosomal RNA, internal transcribed spacer 2, and large subunit ribosomal RNA". The stretch from base 5 to 121 matches the Rfam family "5.8S ribosomal RNA", at positions 38 to 154 of the family's 154-position model. The record is from RNAcentral.